Molecule: ribosomal RNA, 458 nt
Filed under: uncultured Streptococcus sp.
Lineage: Bacteria; Bacillati; Bacillota; Bacilli; Lactobacillales; Streptococcaceae
Description: bacterial SSU rRNA
Rfam family: Bacterial small subunit ribosomal RNA
Source: RNAcentral
GCACAAGCGGUGGAGCAUGUGGUUUAAUUCGAAGCAACGCGAAGAACCUUACCAGGUCUUGACAUCCCGAUGCUAUUUCUAGAGAUAGAAAGUUACUUCGGUACAUCGGUGACAGGUGGUGCAUGGUUGUCGUCAGCUCGUGUCGUGAGAUGUUGGGUUAAGUCCCACAACGAGCGCAACCCCUAUUGUUAGUUGCCAUCAUUCAGUUGGGCACUCUAGCGAGACUGCCGGUAAUAAACCGGAGGAAGGUGGGGAUGACGUCAAAUCAUCAUGCCCCUUAUGACCUGGGCUACACACGUGCUACAAUGGUUGGUACAACGAGUUGCGAGUCGGUGACGGCGAGCUAAUCUCUUAAAGCCAAUCUCAGUUCGGAUUGUAGGCUGCAACUCGCCUACAUGAAGUCGGAAUCGCUAGUAAUCGCGGAUCAGCACGCCGCGGUGAAUACGUUCCCGGGCCUU